Molecule: unclassified non-coding RNA, 173 nt
Filed under: uncultured Fusarium
Lineage: Eukaryota; Fungi; Ascomycota; Sordariomycetes; Hypocreales; Nectriaceae
Description: sequence contains ITS1
Source: RNAcentral
CCGAGUUUACAACUCCCAAACCCCUGUGAACAUACCUAUCGUUGCUUCGGCGGAUCCGCCCCGGUGCCUUCGGGCCCGGACUCAGGCGCCCGCCGGGGGACCCAAACAAUUAUAUCAUCCUUAUGAAAAACUUAGUGAACAACUAAACAAUGAUUUUAAUAAUCUGUUUAAAA